Molecule: ribosomal RNA, 370 nt
Filed under: uncultured bacterium
Lineage: Bacteria
Description: bacterial SSU rRNA
Rfam family: Bacterial small subunit ribosomal RNA
Source: RNAcentral
UACGGAUGGGGCGAGCGCUACUCGGAUUCACUGGGCGUAAAGCGAGUGUAGGCGGCUUUGUAAGUCAGUGGUGAAAGCCCUCGGCUCAACCGGGGAACUGCCAUUGAUACUGCAGAGCUAGAGGGCAGGAGAGGAAAGUGGAAUUCCCGGUGUAGCGGUGGAAUGCGUAGAUAUCGGGAGGAACACCAGAGGCGAAGGCGGCUUUCUGGACUGUACCUGACGCUGAGAUUCGAAAGCCAGGGGAGCAAACAGGAUUAGAUACCCUGGUAGUCCUGGCUGUAAACGAUGGAUACUGGAUCUUGCACAGGUGUGCUUGGUCGAAGCUAACGCGUUAAGUAUCCCGCCUGGGGAGUACGGUCGCAAGGCUGAA